CAUCGGCUUCGGCUGGUGGGUAGCCUGAUGGCGUGCCUUUUGAAGAAUGAGCCGGCGAGUUACCCGGUCUGUGGCAAGGUUAAGUCCGUGAAGGACGGAGCCGUAGCGAAAGCGAGUCUGAAUAGGGCGCCAUAGUCGCAGCGGGUAGACCCGAAACCGAGUGAGCUACCCAUGGGCAGGUUGAAGCGGGAGUAAUGUCCCGUGAAGGACCGAACUCACUAGCGUUGAAAAGCUAGGGGAUGACCUGUGGGUAGAGGUGAAAUGCCAAUCGAACUCGGAGAUAGCUGGUUCUCCCCGAAAUAGCUUUAGGGCUAGCCUCGGGGGUUCAGUCGUGGGGGUAGAGCACUGAAUGGGCUAGGGGGCUUCCCGCUUACCAAACCCAAUCAAACUCCGAAUCCCACGAUUUCAUACCCCGGGAGUCAGACUGCGAGGGCUAAGCUUCGUGGUCAAAAGGAAAACAGUCCAGACCGACAGCUAAGGUCCCAAAAUUCAGACUAAGUGGGGAAGGAUGUGGAGUCGCACAGACAACCAGGAUGUUGGCUUAGAAGCAGCCACCAUUUAAAGAGUGCGUAAUAGCUCACUGGUCAAGUGAUUCCGCGCCGAAGAUCCAACGGGGCUCAAGUCUGAUACCGAAGCUUCGGAUCGUCGCGUUCCUUCGGGUUCGUGGCGGUGGUAGGGGAGCGUUCCGUCAGCAGUGAAGGUCGACCGUGAGGACGGCUGGAGUGGACGGAAGUGCGAAUGCCGGCAUGAGUAGCGAAAUGCGCGUGAGAAACGUGCACGCCGUAUGUCUAAGGUUUCCUGAGGAAGGUUAAUCCGCUCAGGGUUAGUCGGGCCUAAGCCGAGGGCGAAAGCCGUAGGCGAUGGACAAUCGGUUGAUAUUCCGAUACCGCCAGAGAUCGUUUGCACCGCAAGGUGCCACGGUCGUGGACGUCGGUGCGCUGAGGCAGCUUUGCUGUCGAGGCAGCCGAUGAGAAGCGACCGCGGGAGCAAGGGCGUGACCGGGAACGGUAGGUUGAGCGCACUUUGGCUAUGUGCGUCUAAGCUGGUAGGGGGAGAGAACAGGUAAAUCCGUUCUCUCAUUUAAACUCCGAGAAGCGAAUGAAAGGCGAAAGCUGAUUCGACUGAGCCGAUCCUGCAAGAAAAGCGUCUAGCGAGAUCAAAGGCGUCCGUACCGCAAACCGACGCAGGUAGACGGGUAGAGCAUACCAAGGCGAUCGGAAGAACCCUCGUUAAGGAACUCGGCAAAUUGACCCCGUAACUUCGGGAUAAGGGGUGCCUCGCAGCGUUCACUUCGGUGAAUGACUGAUCGAGGCCGCAGUGAAACGGCCCAGGCGACUGUUUAGCAAAAACACAGGUCUCUGCUAAAGCGAAAGCUGACGUAUAGGGGCUGACGCCUGCCCAGUGCUGGAAGGUUAAGAGGAGGGGUGCAAGCUCUGAAUUGAAGCCCCAGUAAACGGCUGCCGUAACUAUAACGGUACUAAGGUAGCGAAAUUCCUUGUCGGGUAAGUUCCGACCCGCACGAAUGGCGUAACGAUCUGGGCGCUGUC
Molecule: ribosomal RNA, 1547 nt
Filed under: hypolithon metagenome
Description: bacterial LSU rRNA
Rfam family: Bacterial large subunit ribosomal RNA
Source: RNAcentral